AUGUGGCUUGCGGUGCACAGAAAAUGCCUCACGGCGGACAACCUUGAGAAGAGAAACUGGCCUUCCAAUGGCUCGUGCCCUCUUUGCAUUACAGAGCCAGAGGAUUGCACACACCUCUUCGUCCAAUGCCGCUUCACGCAGCAAUUGUGGCAGCGUUUCAAAGCUUGGACCAGCAUUGACUUUGUGACUCCUGAUAGCACUUUUUCCUCCACCCAGGGAUGGUAGCUGCAAGCUAGGGCGGCUAUACCUAAGCACUUGCAGAGAAAUUUCGAUACGGUGGUCAUCCUGCUGCAUUGGAGGGUAUGGAGAAAAAGGAAGGUCAGGAUCUUCGAUCAUGUCACCAGCUCACUAGAUAGAGUUUUGGACUUAAUCAAGGAAGACCUGACCAUGUGGAGAGCCGCAGGAUGUAUCAUUGUUCUGCCUACUUAA
RNAcentral lists this ribosomal RNA (429 nucleotides) under Triticum aestivum (bread wheat). RNAcentral's name for it is "partial small subunit ribosomal RNA". Lineage: Eukaryota; Viridiplantae; Streptophyta; Magnoliopsida; Poales; Poaceae. The record is from RNAcentral.